UACGUAGGGUGCGAGCGUUAAUCGGAAUUACUGGGCGUAAAGCGUGCGCAGGCGGUUCGUUGUGUCGGUGGUGAAAUCCCCGGGCUUAACCUGGGAAUGGCCAUGGAAACUGGCGAACUGGAGUGCGGCAGAGGGGGGUGGAAUUCCGCGUGUAGCAGUGAAAUGCGUAGAGAUGCGGAGGAACACCGAUGGCGAAGGCAGCCCCCUGGGCUAGCACUGACGCUCAGGCACGAAAGCGUGGGGAGCGAACAGG
This 253-nucleotide ribosomal RNA is filed under the name uncultured bacterium. RNAcentral describes it as "partial 16S ribosomal RNA". It matches the Rfam family "Bacterial small subunit ribosomal RNA", at positions 524 to 776 of the family's 1533-position model. The record is from RNAcentral.